AUACUACCUGUGAAGAUGCAGGUUACCCGCGACAGGACGGAAAGACCCCGUGGAGCUUUACUGCAGCCUGAUAUGGAAUUUUGGUAUCGCUUGUACAGGAUAGGUGGGAGCCUGGGAAGCCGGAGCGCCAGCUUCGGUGGAGGCGGCGGUGGGAUACCACCCUGGCGGUAUUGAAGUUCUAACCCGCACCCCUGAUCGGGGUGGGAGACAGUGUCAGGCGGGCAGUUUGACUGGGGCGGUCGCCUCCCAAAAGGUAACGGAGGCGCCCAAAGGUUCCCUCAGAAUGGUUGGAAAUCAUUCGGAGAGUGCAAAGGCACAAGGGAGCUUGACUGCGAGACGGACAGGUCGAGCAGGGACGAAAGUCGGGCUUAGUGAUCCGGUGGUUCCGCAUGGAAGGGCCAUCGCUCAACGGAUAAAAGCUACCCCGGGGAUAACAGGCUGAUCUCCCCCAAGAGUCCACAUCGACGGGGAGGUUUGGCACCUCGAUGUCGGCUCAUCGCAUCCUGGGGCUGUAGUCGGUCCCAAGGGUUGGGCUGUUCGCCCAUUAAAGCGGUACGCGAGCUGGGUUCAGAACGUCGUGAGACAGUUCGGUCCCUAUCCGUCGCGGGCGCAGGAAAUUUGAGAGGAGCUGUCCUUAGUACGAGAGGACCGGGAUGGACGCACCGCUGGUGUACCAGUUGUCCCGCCAGGGGCACCGCUGGGUAGCUAUGUGCGGACGGGAUAAGCGCUGAAAGCAUCUAAGCGUGAAGCCCCCCUCAAGAUGAGAUUUCCCACCGCGUCAGGCGGGUAAGAUCCCUCGAAGAUGACGAGGUCGAUAGGUCCGAGGUGGAAGCGUGGCGACACGUGGAGCUGACGGAUACUAAUCGAUCGAGGGCUU
RNAcentral lists this ribosomal RNA (877 nucleotides) under Geobacillus sp. DSP4a. RNAcentral describes it as "partial 23S ribosomal RNA". It matches the Rfam family "Bacterial large subunit ribosomal RNA", at positions 2044 to 2925 of the family's 2925-position model. Lineage: Bacteria; Bacillati; Bacillota; Bacilli; Caryophanales; Anoxybacillaceae. The record is from RNAcentral.